GUUAUUUUUUGGGCAAUUUGGUUGAAAGAAAUCAAUAUUUUUUUUGUGUAGAAACUUUGAAAAUUGGGUCAAGUUUGACCCCAAGGACAACAGCAG
Long non-coding RNA from Etheostoma cragini (Arkansas darter), 96 nucleotides. RefSeq lists it as uncharacterized. NCBI's taxonomy places the organism in Eukaryota, Metazoa, Chordata, Actinopteri, Perciformes, Percidae. The transcript has 4 exons. The record is from RefSeq and is a predicted model, not a curated record.